UACAGAGGUCUCAAGCGUUGUUCGGAUUCAUUGGGCGUAAAGGGUGCGUAGGCGGCGCGGUAAGUCGGGUGUGAAAUCUCGGAGCUUAACUCCGAAACUGCAUUCGAUACUGCCGUGCUUGAGGACUGGAGAGGAGACUGGAAUUUACGGUGUAGCGGUGAAAUGCGUAGAUAUUGGGAAGAACACCGGUGGCGAAGGCGAUCAUCUGGACCACAACUGACGCUGAGGCGCGAAAGCGUGGGGAGCAAACAGG
This 253-nucleotide ribosomal RNA is filed under the name uncultured bacterium. RNAcentral describes it as "partial 16S ribosomal RNA". It matches the Rfam family "Bacterial small subunit ribosomal RNA", at positions 524 to 776 of the family's 1533-position model. The record is from RNAcentral.